RNAcentral lists this ribosomal RNA (484 nucleotides) under uncultured bacterium. RNAcentral describes it as "partial 16S ribosomal RNA". It matches the Rfam family "Bacterial small subunit ribosomal RNA", at positions 28 to 523 of the family's 1533-position model. The record is from RNAcentral.
GACGAACGCUGGCGGCGUGCUUAACACAUGCAAGUCGAACGAUGAAGCCGGAGCUUGCUCUGGUGAAUUAGUGGCGAACGGGUGAGUAACACGUGAGUAACCUGCCCUUGACUCUGGGAUAACUGCUAGAAAUGGUAGCUAAUACCGGAUACGACCCUCGGCGGCAUCGCCAGGGGGUGGAAAGAAUCUCGGUCAAGGAUGGACUCGCGGCCUAUCAGCUAGUUGGUGAGGUAACGGCUCACCAAGGCGACGACGGGUAGCCGGCCUGAGAGGGUGACCGGCCACACUGGGACCGCGACACGGCCCAGACUCCUACGGGAGGCAGCAGUGGGGAAUAUUGCACAAUGGGCGCAAGCCUGAUGCAGCAACGCCGCGUGAGGGAUGACGGCCUUCGGGUUGUAAACCUCUUUUAGUAGGGAAGAAGCGAAAGUGACGGUACCUGCAGAAAAAGCACCGGCUAACUACGUGCCAGCAGCCGCCGUAA